RNAcentral lists this ribosomal RNA (3024 nucleotides) under Capsicum baccatum. RNAcentral's name for it is "eukaryotic LSU rRNA". The stretch from base 390 to 2541 matches the Rfam family "Eukaryotic large subunit ribosomal RNA". The record is from RNAcentral. Lineage: Eukaryota; Viridiplantae; Streptophyta; Magnoliopsida; Solanales; Solanaceae.
AUGACUCUCGACAACGGAUAUCUCGGCUCUAAUAUCGAUGAAGAACGUAGCGAAAUGCGAUACUUGGUGUGAAUUACAAAAUUCCGUGAACCAUCGAGUCUUUGAAUGCAAGUUGCGCCCGAAGACAUUAGGCCGAGGGCACGUCUGCCUGGGUGUCACGUAUCGCGUUGCCCCCCUCGAAUCGCGCCUCAAUCACGGGGCGCGCUGUCGUCGCGGGGUGGAUAAUGGCCUCUCGUGCGCCUCGAGCUCGCGGCUGGCCUAAAUGCGAGUCCACGUUGAUGGACGUCGCGGCAAGAGGUGGUUGCAACUCAACUCUCUAUGCCGUCGCGUCUACGGCCCAUCGCGCGUCCGGACUCCAGAACCCCUUUGCGCUCAGGAGCUCCGACCGCGACCCCAGGUCAGGAGGGAUUACCCGCUGAGUUUAAGCAUAUCAAUAAGCAGAGGAAAAGAAACUUACAAGGAGUCCCUUAGUAAAAGCGAGCGAACCGGGAACAACCCAGCCUUAGAAUCGGUCGGCUCUGUCGUCCGAAUUGUAGUCUGGAGAAGCGUCCUCAGCGGCCGACCGGGCCCAUGUCCCUUGGAAGGGGGCACCGGAGAUGGUGAGAGCCCCAUUGUGCCCGGACACUGUCGCACCACGAGGCAUUGUCUACGAGUCGGGUUUUUUGGGAAUGCAGCCCAAAUCGGACGGUGAAUUCCGUCCAAGGCUAAAUACGAGCGAGAGACUGAUAGCGAAUAAGUACCGCGAGGGAAAGAUGAAAAGAACUUAGAAAAGAGAGUCAAAGAGUGCUUGAAAUUGUCGGGAGGGAAGCGGAUGGGGGCCGGCGAUGCGCCCCGGUCGAAUGUAGAACGGAGACGAGCCGGUCCGCCAAUCGACUUGGGGCGUGGACCAGCGUGGAUUGGGGGGCGACAAAAGCCCGGGCUCGCGAUACGCUUGUGGAACGCCGUCUACUCGAUUGUGGCAGGCAGCGCGCGCCUUCGGCGUGCUUCGUCAUCUGCGCGCUUCGGACACUGGCCUGUGGGCUCCCCAUUCGACCCAUCUUGAAACACGGACCAAGGAGUCUGACAUAUGUGCGAGUCAACGGGCGAGUAAACCAGUAAGGUGCAAGGAAGCUGAUUGGUGGGAUCCCCCCAUGGGGUGCACCGCCGAACGACCUUGAUCUUCUGAGAAGGGUUCGAGUGUGAGCAUACAUGUCGGGACCCGAAAGAUGGUGAACUAUGCCUGAGUGGGGCGAAGCCAGAGGAUACUCUGGUGGAGGCCCGCAGCAAUACUGAUGUGGAAAUCGUUCGUCUGACUUGGGUAUAGCGGUCAAAGACUAAUCGAACCAUCUAGUAGCUGGUUCCCUCCGAAGUUUCCCUCAAGAUAGCUGGAGCUCGCAUGCGAGUUCUAUAGGGUAAAUCCAAUGAUUAGAGGCCUCGGGGGCGCAAUGCCCUCAACCUUUUCUCAAACUUUAAAUAGGUAGGACGGCGCGGCUGCUUACUUGAGCUGCGCCACGGAAUCAAGAGCUCCAAGUUGGCCAUUUUUGGUAUGCAGAACUGGCGAUGCGGGAUGAACCGGAAGCUGGGUUACGGUGCCAAACUGCGUUCUAACCUAGAUCCCACAAAGGGUGUUGGUCGAUUAAGACAUCAGGACGGUAGUCAUGGAAGCCAAAAUCCGCAAAGGAGUGUGUAACAACUCACUUGCCGAAUCAACUAGCCCCGAAAAUGGAUGGCGCUUAAGCACGCGACCUACACCCGGCCGUCGGGGCAAGUACCAGGCCCCGAUGAGUAGGAGGGCGCAGCGGUCGCUACAUAACCUUGGGCGCGAGCCCGGGCGGAGCGGCUGUCGGUGCAGAUAUUGGUGGUAGUAGCAAAUAUUCAAAUGAGAACUUUGAAGGCCGAAGAGGGGAAAGGUUCCAUGUGAACGGCACUUGCACAUGGGUUAGUCGAUCCUAAGACACCGUGGCACCAAGGCACCGUGGCACCAUCGCUCCAUGGCACGAAGGCAGUAUAGCGCCAUGGCACCAAGGCACCGUGGCACCGUGGCGAGGUGGCACCAAGGCACCGUGGCACCAAGGCACCAUGGCACCAAGGCACCAAGGCACUAACGCACCGUGGCAAAAUCAAAAGAGCGUAAACCUACGUUCGAUCAUCCUAAUAUUUUCUUGACGUUCAUCCAUCCUCCUCACCGUUGCAUACUCAUUUUUCUACAUAUCCGCCCUAAUUUUUUAUUUUAAAUAUAUUUCAUUGUUACCUCAUAUGUCGUGGCGGUUUUCGUAAUGUCCCGUCGCCUUUUUUUCAAAUUUUUAUUUAAUAUCCUUAAAUUUAAAUAUUUUAUAUCGUUACGUCAUUCGUAAAAAUACGCACUCAAUUGUUAGUUUAAGGCUUCUUCAUUCUAAUAUGCAUAUUUUGGANAUUUUCCUAAUGUCCCCACGUUAUUUUUAUAUUUAAUAUCCUUAAAUUUAAAUAUUUUAUAUCGUUACGCUAUACGUACAAAUAUGCACUCGAUUGUUGGUUUAAGGUUAGUUCAUGCGCCGAGAAUAUUUUCCUAAUUUUUUCAUAUUUUUAUAAAUAUUUUUUCUAUUUUUUAUUUAUUUUUACAUAUUUUUUGAAUUUUAAUAAAUGAUAUUCGUAAAAAAAUAUUUUCUCAACGAAAAUUAUCAUUUACAAAUUACGCGACCUUUUUGGGAGUGCACAGGCUCCGUCUCACAUCAAAACGUGCAGUUCGGGUCCGCAUAUGUCUGGUAUGAUUCUCAGGCAAAAUCAUGUCUACUCCUGUCACUUGGGGUUUUUUUUUAAGAGUAUAUAAGGGGGGUAGAGGCGUUGAAGGCAUUUCAAGGCGACUGUCGGUAGUUGGCAUAGGCUCUCAGUGGCCAUGUCGGCGUGCAGUGUGGGCGCAUGGCAGCAUGCAUGGCUAGUUCGUGCGNNNNNNNNNNNNNNNNNNNNNNNNNNNNNNNNUUUUUUUUUUAAGCAUAUAUAAGGGGGGUAGAGGUGUUGAAGGCACUUCAAGGCGACUGUCGCUAGCUGGCAUAGGCGCUCAGUGGCAAU